RNAcentral lists this ribosomal RNA (458 nucleotides) under uncultured bacterium. RNAcentral's name for it is "partial 16S ribosomal RNA". It matches the Rfam family "Bacterial small subunit ribosomal RNA", at positions 338 to 795 of the family's 1533-position model. The record is from RNAcentral.
CCUACGGGAGGCUGCAGUAGGGAAUCUUCCACAAUGGGCGAAAGCCUGAUGGAGCAACGCCGCGUGGGUGAAGAAGGUCUUCGGAUCGUAAACCGCUUUUGCACGGGGAUAACACCCUCCACUUGUGGAGGUCUGCAGGUACCGUGCGAAUAAGGGCCGGCUAAUUCCGUGCCAGCAGCCGCGGUAAUACGGAAGGCCCGAGCGUUAUCCGGAUUCAUUGGGCUUAAAGGGAGCGUAGGCGGGCGUUCAAGUCAGCUGUAAAAUCGCGCGGCUCAACCGCGCCCCGCAGUUGAAACUGGACGCCUUGAGUUCACAACAGGCAGGCGGAAUUCGUGGUGUAGCGGUGAAAUGCAUAGAUAUCACGAGGAACCCCGAUUGCGAAGGCAGCCUGCCGGGGUGCGACUGACGCUGAGGCUCGAAGGUGCGGGUAUCAAACAGGAUUAGAUACCCCUGUAGUC